RNAcentral lists this ribosomal RNA (475 nucleotides) under uncultured anaerobic ammonium-oxidizing bacterium. RNAcentral's name for it is "bacterial SSU rRNA". It matches the Rfam family "Bacterial small subunit ribosomal RNA", at positions 365 to 832 of the family's 1533-position model. The record is from RNAcentral.
UUCGCAAUGCCCGAAAGGGUGACGAUGCGACGCCGCGUGAGCGAAGAAGGCCCUAGGGUUGUAAAGCUCUGUCGAGGGUUAUGAAAUAUAGAUGGGUUAAUACCCCAUUUAUUUGACAAAAGCCCAAAAGGAAGCCACGGCUAACUCUGUGCCAGCAGCCGCGGUAAUACAGAGGUGGCGAGCGUUGUUCGGUAUUAUUGGGCGUAAAGAGCACGUAGGUGGUUUGUAAGUCAGGUGUGAAAGCCUUCUGUUCAAAGGAAGAACGGCAUCUGAAACUGCAGAUCUUGAGUGUAGGAGGGGAGAGUGGAACUUCUGGUGGAGCGGUGAAAUGCGUAGAUAUCAGAAGGAACGUCGGCGGCGAAAGCGACUCUCUGGCCUAUUACUGACACUGAGGUGCGAAAGUUAGGGGAGUAAACGGGAUUAGAUACCCCGGUAGUCCUAACCGUAAACGAUGGGCACUAAGUAGAGGGGUUUU